GAUGAAGAACGUAGCGAAAUGCGAUAAGUAAUGCGAAUUGCAGAAUUCAGUGAGUCAUCGAAUCUUUGAACGCACAUUGCGCCCUGUGGUAUUCCGCAGGGCAUGCCUGUUCGAGCGUCAUUUCAACCCUCAAGCUCUGCUUGGUGUUGGGCCCUGCCCGCUGCGGCCGGCCCUAAAGACAGUGGCGGUGCCGCCUGGCCCUGAGCGUAGUACAUCUCUCGCUCCAGUGCCCGGUGGUAGCCUGCCAGAACCCCAACUCUCGUGGUUGACCUCGGAUCAGGUAGGGAUACCCGCUUAACUUAAGCAUAUCAAUAAGCGGAGGA
This 323-nucleotide unclassified non-coding RNA is filed under the name soil metagenome. Its description in RNAcentral is "partial contains 5.8S ribosomal RNA, internal transcribed spacer 2, and large subunit ribosomal RNA". The stretch from base 1 to 120 matches the Rfam family "5.8S ribosomal RNA", at positions 35 to 154 of the family's 154-position model. The record is from RNAcentral.